This 403-nucleotide ribosomal RNA is filed under the name uncultured bacterium. RNAcentral describes it as "partial 16S ribosomal RNA". It matches the Rfam family "Bacterial small subunit ribosomal RNA", at positions 28 to 526 of the family's 1533-position model. The record is from RNAcentral.
GACGAACGCUGGCGGCGUGCCUAAUACAUGCAAGUCGAACGCAGUGGGGACGGUUGAGUAACACGUGGGUAACCUCCCAUCAGAGGGGAUAACACUUGGAAACAGGUGCUAAACCGAUACUGAUGGAUGGACCCGCGGUGCAUUAGCUAGUUGGUGAGGUAACGGCUCACCAAGGCCACGAUGCAUCGCCGACCUGGGAGGGGGAUCGGCCACACUGGGAAUGAGAAACGGCCCAGACUCCUACGGGGGGCAGCAGUAGGGAAAUUUCGGCAAUGGACGAAAGGCUGAACGAGCAAAGCCGCGUGAGUGAAGAAGGUUUUCGGAUCGUAAAACUCUGUUGUUAGAGAAGCGGUAUCUAACAAGAAAGCCACGGCUAACUACGUGCCAGCAGCCGCGGUAAUUC